GAGUGUGAGGGAGAUCUGGCUGCAAAAUCUGUCACCCCACUGAUCUCUAGGGUUGGCUUGGCUUAUCUGGCUUCUUAGGCGAGUGUUCCCUUCCUCCCUCACUGCUCCAUGCGCAUCCCCCUCCCAAAGCUGCUCACUCGGUUGAAGAGGAUGAACAUUCCCACUAGAGAAGGACCGUUCUUCUGUAUAGGGUUUAUGAGUAGCUGCACACCCCUGCUGGAACCUCCCAAGCCCUCUCAAGAAAUCCAACUGCUCCCAGAGCACCAUGCUGGAGAGGUCAUGGGAAAGGCUCAGGUCCACUGUUCCAGCUGAGCCCAGCCUUCUC
This 325-nucleotide small nuclear RNA is filed under the name Carlito syrichta (Philippine tarsier). RNAcentral's name for it is "7SK RNA (ENSTSYG00000020696.2)". It matches the Rfam family "7SK RNA". Rfam says of the family: 7SK was discovered as an abundant small nuclear RNA in the mid-70s but a possible function has only recently been suggested. Two independent studies have found that 7SK RNA binds the CDK9/cyclin T complex (known as elongation factor P-TEFb). The record is from Rfam by way of RNAcentral. Lineage: Eukaryota; Metazoa; Chordata; Mammalia; Primates; Tarsiidae.